Molecule: ribosomal RNA, 253 nt
Filed under: uncultured bacterium
Lineage: Bacteria
Description: partial 16S ribosomal RNA
Rfam family: Bacterial small subunit ribosomal RNA
Source: RNAcentral
UACGAAGGGGGCUAGCGUUGUUCGGAAUUACUGGGCGUAAAGCGUGCGCAGGCGGCUUCUCAAGUCAGGGGUGAAAGCCCAGAGCUCAACUCUGGAAUUGCCUUUGAGACUGAGUGGCUUGAGUACGAGAGAGGUGAGUGGAAUUCCCAGUGUAGAGGUGAAAUUCGUAGAUAUUGGGAGGAACACCAGUGGCGAAGGCGGCUCACUGGACCGGUUCUGACGCUGAUGCGCGAAAGCGUGGGGAGCAAACGGG